GAUUCUGGCUCAGGAUGAACGCUAGCGGCAGGCUUAACACAUGCAAGUCGAGGGGCAGCGCGGGGUAGCAAUACUCUGGCGGCGACCGGCGAAAGGGUGAGUAACGCGUGAGCAACAUGCCCGAUAGAGGGGGAUAGUCAUUGGAAACGAUGCGUAAUACCCCGUAACAUUUGGAACCGCAUGAUUCUGAAUUGAAAGAUUUAUUGCUAUCGGAUUGGCUCGCGUACCAUUAGCUAGUUGGCGGGGUAACGGCCCACCAAGGCGACGAUGGUUAGGGGUUCUGAGAGGAAGGUCCCCCACAUUGGAACUGAGACACGGUCCAGACUCCUACGGGAGGCAGCAGUGAGGAAUAUUGGACAAUGGCCGAGAGGCUGAUCCAGCCAUGCCGCGUGCCGGGAGGACGGCCCUAUGGGUUGUAAACCGCUUUUGUUGGGGAGCAAUAAGUCUUACGUGUAAGAUGAUGAGAGUACCCAGCGAAUAAGCAUCGGCUAACUCCGUGCCAGCCGCCGC
RNAcentral lists this ribosomal RNA (510 nucleotides) under uncultured bacterium. RNAcentral describes it as "bacterial SSU rRNA". It matches the Rfam family "Bacterial small subunit ribosomal RNA", at positions 15 to 518 of the family's 1533-position model. The record is from RNAcentral.